GAACGAACGCUGGCGGCAGGCUUAACACAUGCAAGUCGAGCGCCCCGCAAGGGGAGCGGCAGACGGGUGAGUAACGCGUGGGAACGUACCUUUUGGUUCGGAACAACUCCGGGAAACUGGAGCUAAUACCGGAUAAGCCCUAACGGGGAAAGAUUUAUCGCCGAAAGAUCGGCCCGCGUCUGAUUAGCUAGUUGGUGAGGUAACGGCUCACCAAGGCGACGAUCAGUAGCUGGUCUGAGAGGAUGAUCAGCCACACUGGGACUGAGACACGGCCCAGACUCCUACGGGAGGCAGCAGUGGGGAAUAUUGGACAAUGGGCGCAAGCCUGAUCCAGCCAUGCCGCGUGAGUGAUGAAGGCCUUAGGGUUGUAAAGCUCUUUUGUCCGGGAAGAUAAUGACUGUACCGGAAGAAUAAGCCCCGGCUAACUUCGUG
This 432-nucleotide ribosomal RNA is filed under the name uncultured bacterium. Its description in RNAcentral is "partial 16S ribosomal RNA". It matches the Rfam family "Bacterial small subunit ribosomal RNA", at positions 27 to 507 of the family's 1533-position model. The record is from RNAcentral.